RNAcentral lists this ribosomal RNA (433 nucleotides) under uncultured bacterium. RNAcentral's name for it is "partial 16S ribosomal RNA". It matches the Rfam family "Bacterial small subunit ribosomal RNA", at positions 29 to 507 of the family's 1533-position model. The record is from RNAcentral.
AACGAACGCUGGCGGCAUGCCUAACACAUGCCAGUCGAACGAUCCCUUUGGGGAUAGUGGCGCACGGGUGCGUAACGCGUGGGAACCUGCCCUUAGGUUCGGAAUAACUCAGAGAAAUUUGAGCUAAUACCGGAUAAUGUCUUCGGACCAAAGAUUUAUCGCCUUUGGAUGGGCCCGCGUUGGAUUAGCUAGUUGGUGGGGUAAAGGCCUACCAAGGCGACGAUCCAUAGCUGGUCUGAGAGGAUGAUCAGCCACACUGGGACUGAGACACGGCCCAGACUCCUACGGGAGGCAGCAGUGGGGAAUAUUGGACAAUGGGCGAAAGCCUGAUCCAGCAAUGCCGCGUGAGUGAUGAAGGCCUUAGGGUUGUAAAGCUCUUUUACCCGGGAUGAUAAUGACAGUACCGGGAGAAUAAGCCCCGGCUAACUCCGUG